RNAcentral lists this ribosomal RNA (439 nucleotides) under uncultured bacterium. Its description in RNAcentral is "partial 16S ribosomal RNA". It matches the Rfam family "Bacterial small subunit ribosomal RNA", at positions 338 to 795 of the family's 1533-position model. The record is from RNAcentral.
CCUACGUGAGGCUGCAGUAGGGAAUUUUGCGCAAUGGGCGAAAGCCUGACGCAGCAACGCCGCGUGAUCGAGACGCCCUUCGGGGUGUAAAGAUCUGUCAGUGGGACGAAACUUGACGGUACCCACAGAGGAAGCACCGGCUAACUCCGUGCCAGCAGCCGCGGUAAUACGGGGGGUGCAAGCGUUGUCCGGAAUCAUUGGGCGUAAAGAGUUCGUAGGCGGCACGUAACGUCUGGUGUUAAAGGCAGAGGCUCAACUUCUGUACGGCACUGGAUACUUGCGAGCUAGAAUGCGGUAGAGGUAAAGGGAAUUCCUGGUGUAGCGGUGAAAUGCUUAGAUAUCUGGAGGAACAUCAGGGGCGAAGGCGACUAUCUGGCACAUAACUGACGCUGAGGAGCGAAAGCGUGGGUAGCAAACAGGAUUAGAGACCCGAGUAGUC